This is a transfer RNA of Ovis aries (sheep), 72 nucleotides long. It matches the Rfam family "tRNA". Rfam says of the family: Transfer RNA (tRNA) molecules are approximately 80 nucleotides in length. NCBI's taxonomy places the organism in Eukaryota, Metazoa, Chordata, Mammalia, Artiodactyla, Bovidae. The record is from Rfam.
UCCCUGGUGGCUCAUACGGUAAAGCGUCUGCCUACACUGCGGGAGACCCAGGUUCGAUCCCUGGAUGGGGAA